Molecule: ribosomal RNA, 468 nt
Filed under: uncultured bacterium
Lineage: Bacteria
Description: partial 16S ribosomal RNA
Rfam family: Bacterial small subunit ribosomal RNA
Source: RNAcentral
GACGAACGCUGGCGGCGUGCUUAACACAUGCAAGUCGAACGGAAAGGCCCUGCUUUUGUGGGGUGCUCGAGUGGCGAACGGGUGAGUAACACGUGAGUAACCUGCCCUUGACUUUGGGAUAACUUCAGGAAACUGGGGCUAAUACCGGAUAGGAGCUCCUGCUGCAUGGUGGGGGUUGGAAAGUUUCGGCGGUUGGGGAUGGACUCGCGGCUUAUCAGCUUGUUGGUGGGGUAGUGGCUUACCAAGGCUUUGACGGGUAGCCGGCCUGAGAGGGUGACCGGCCACAUUGGGACUGUGAUACGGCCCAGACUCCUACGGGAGGCAGCAGUGGGGAAUAUUGCACAAUGGGCGGAAGCCUGAUGCAGCAACGCCGCGUGCGGGAUGACGGCCUUCGGGUUGUAAACCGCUUUCGCCUGUGACGAAGCGUGAGUGACGGUAAUGGGUAAAGAAGCACCGGCUGACUACGUG